UACGAGUGCCCCAAGCGUUAUCCGGAAUCAUUGGGCGUAAAGGGUGUGUAGGUUGUCUUGUUAGUCUUCUGUGAAAUUCUUCGGCUUAACCGGGGGUCCGCAGGGGAAACGGCAAGACUAGAGGAUGUGAGAGGUGAAUGGAACUCAUGGUGUAGGGGUGAAAUCCGUUGAUAUCAUGGGGAACACCAAAAGCGAAGGCAGUUCACUGGCGCAUUCCUGACACUCAAACACGAAAGCGUGGGUAGCGAAUGGG
RNAcentral lists this ribosomal RNA (253 nucleotides) under uncultured bacterium. RNAcentral's name for it is "partial 16S ribosomal RNA". It matches the Rfam family "Bacterial small subunit ribosomal RNA", at positions 524 to 776 of the family's 1533-position model. The record is from RNAcentral.